Molecule: non-coding RNA, 3570 nt
Organism: Ictidomys tridecemlineatus (thirteen-lined ground squirrel)
Lineage: Eukaryota; Metazoa; Chordata; Mammalia; Rodentia; Sciuridae
Source: RefSeq, a predicted model, not a curated record
ACCCUUUUGAUCUGUUUACUAAUCUUUCUAUUGACCCAUAUCCCAGACUUUGUAUAUAUCAUGUUUUUAAAGUAUUGAAUAAGUGAACCAUUAUAUAUGCGAAUGACUGUAGAGGGAGUAACAGAGUUUGUAUUUCUAGGUAACACUUCCCAAAAUGAAAAUAUGUUGUAUAAUAACCCCUUCAGCAAUAAGCUUCCUCUUCGACUCCAAGUUGAAAAGGAAUUCGGUGUCUGUUGCAGGAAAAAUCAAUAAAAAAGGUUAUGUUAAUGAAACUCAAGAAUGUACAGACAUUGUGCUUUCUGGGUGAAGCAAGCUUGCGUUUGAAUUGUCUGCUCUCUCCGGGGCAAGUCUUUACCAUGAAAGCGGAAGCAAGCUCUGAAUUUGGGAAUUUGUUAUUGCCACAAUUUAUCAGUGUCAUACCUACUCCAAAUGGAUGUUAUCAAUGUUAAAAAAAAGAAUAUCCUAGGCCAAUAACAUAUGAUGAAAAUUCUUGCAUUUUAUAAUGCACUUUGCACUUAAGAAGCUAGUUCUCAUUUUGAAAAGUAAAGAAAAACAAAAGCAGAGAAGUUAAAUGCUGCAUAGCAAGUUAUUAAACCUGUUUAUGGCACUAAUAGUAAUAGAUUAUUCCCGUGAAAAUACAAACCGACUUAGUACAUGUUUGCUUUUCAUGUCUAAAGUCGAGAGUCCUCACAUCUAGACAAUUGCUUUUGUUACACUGUUUGAAGAAAUCUUCCUUUUGUUAGUUCUUUUGGUUUUUUUUUUUUUUGCUUAUAUCCCUGAGAAUAUUAUAUUUUUGAAAAAUUUUGUAUAUCUCAAAAAUAAUACACAUUUAUAAAACCUAUCAUUAAGUCUUUAUAAUUUCAUCAACCUAUUUCUUAGAAACAAUUUGCUACUUAGUAUAAAAUGUAAUUUUUUGUGGUUGUGGUUGUGGUUGUAGCUGGUACUGGAGAUUGAACUCAGGGGGCCUUUAUCACUGAGCUACCACUGACCUACAUUCCCAGCAUUUACCCACCUCCUUUUUUCUUCCUUGAGAAGGUGUCUUGCUAAGUUAGGUUGCUUAGGUCCUCACUAAAUAGCUGUGGCUGGCUUAGAACCUGUGAUCCUCCUGCCUCAAUCUCUAGUGUUGCUGGGAUUACAUGUCUGCACCACCAAGCCUGCAAAAUGUAGUUUUUAUCAUAUAGUGAUUUCCAUUGAUAAAUGCCACAAAUAAAUUGCAUGUCUAAAAAUAUGUCUGAUUUCUCAAAAUAAAUUAAGAACUACUAAGAUUUUCUACUUGUGAGUUUAAAGGAGAUCUAUCUAUCAGUUUUUUAAAAAAUAAAAUCAACGAAUUUCACUAGAUAACAUCCAUAUAGUAGAAUACAAAAAAAAAUAUCUAUUAAAAAAGUAAUUCUGUAAUUUAUUUAUCAAUGGUUUCUCCUAUCUAUUAACCUCCUCAAAUAAACACAAGUAUUUAAAAUAAUGCAGUAGCUUAAUCAAUCCCUAACAGAAGCUGCUUUUGAAUGACUUCUGGAAAUCCAACCCAUAUUUUCACAUCCAAGAUUUUUUUAAAUGGCAUACCCUGCUGUGCACUGAGCCUCAAUUUCUGUGAACUGUCAUAGCCAAGAGUUAGGAUAAGCAACGGAAAACUGAUAGCUUUUCUACAAUUUCCAGAUUCAUAAAAUUCAAAUAAUUAUAUCAUUUCUCAAGUAAGAAGUUCCAUAUUGGCCUGUGACCAAUGCCUGCUGUUCCACUAUUGGCUUUGAUCUCCUUAAAAAUGUGAAAUUCAAUGAUGAUUAAAUUGGUAACUUUUAUCACAACAGUACACUUCUUUCUUGAGACUCAAUUAGGGGUGAAGGUGGGAGACAAGACCUGUAGAUUAUUCAGUUCUUUAACAAAGAUUGAGAUCUAAAACUAGAACUCUAACUGCUACCCUUAUGAACUGAACUAACAUAGGUGAACACCAUGGUCAAAGCUUCUCUAAUGGCCUCUUUCCCUAGACAUUCUGGCCCUUGGAAUUGUACUCCUUUUUCAUUACAAAGAAACAGAAAGAUCAACCUAGGAAUAAGGAGAUCCUCCCUAAACUUCUUUCACCAUGGCUCCCAUGCCUUACCCAUUAGGCUUUGCCAGAGCUGGGAAGAAGCUUAGAGAAGGUUGGAAAUGGGGAGUCAGAAGAAGUCUUUAUCCCACCUGUUGCAUGAAAGAAAUAGAUGAGAAAUAAAGUAAUGCAAACAGGGAGGAAGGAUGAUCCAAAUGUGGAAAUAAUCCUAACUGAAAUGUUCCAUAAGGAAGCAAUGUGUUUUCAUUCCUGGGAUGAGGCCCAUAGAUGAGGUCCAUAGAUGAAGCUCAUAGAUAGAGAACAUAUAGAAUACUAUCUGCUAAAUUUCGUCACAUAACACCAGCUUCUCCUUCUAAUGGAAAAAAGAAUCAGGGAAAGGGGCAGGGAAGUGGAAUGGAAAAGUUUGACUUUUCCUUGGUGAUUUGGAAUAUUUCUAAAAGAAAUAAAGUGACUUUUCUAAAAGUCACUGUCAGAAAAGGAAGGACUGUAGGAGAUCUUCUAAAGACUUUGCACUAAACCUGGAAGCUGAGCAGCCACUUGCUAAUAUAUCUUUACCUUGUCAUCAUCCUUCUUCAAAUCAGCUUUAUUCUCAAGGCAUAUCUCCAAAGCCCCUGUUCUCAGGUUCUUAAAUUUACCAGCAUUCUUACUUUCUAGACUAAGAUUCUUAAAUUUACCAGCACUCUUGCUUUCUAGAGAUGUUUGAACUGGUACUGAAUGCUAUCAAAGGAGUUUUAAUAUUAAUUCCAUUUCUACACAGUUAUUUUUCAAUAAUAACAGAAAAAUGCAAAGAGUCACAAUAUCUAGAGACACUUUUGAUUAUCAUGAGUAGAGAGUCGGUAGUCCUGGCAUCUAGGGUGUGGAGACCAGGGAUGCUGAUAAAAAUUUCAAUAAUACACAAAGAAUUAUCCAGCCCAAAAUAUUAUUUGGUACUGAGGUUGAGAAACCUUGAUCUAGACUAUAAAGUGAAACAGGAUGAAAACUUGAAACACAGUUGUUAAAAUAAAAACAGUAACUUUAUAUGGAGUUGUUGAAAGUGAGAACCUGUAUGAUAGUAUAAGUGAAUGUCCUUAUUUUGAAGUGUAUAUGGCUUAAGCUUAAAUGGGUCAUUAAGUACUCACUGGAUGAAUCUCAUAUAUUUUUAUAAAUCAAUAUCAUUAUAUCAACGGAACCUCUAAUUUUUAGAAAAUGAGUCUAUUCUCAGCAUUUUAUGAUGAGAAUAUCCUUAUACUUUGAGUCAUUUUUACAUCCUACUUGUAUACUAUUUGCUCACCUAACCAUAUUCAGGAGGCCAAUUUUAAUAACUGGGACUUAUCUGCAUUUUCACUUCAUAUUGCUUUUCUGAAUCAGUAAAUAUUUAGGAGAGAGCUCUACAUCAUGAGCCUGACCUAGUGAGUCUCAGCUGAUCAGCACAGAUCUAGUAUGAAGUCCCACUUGCAGCCCUUUGUGUUGCUGGGUGGACCAGGCACACUGCUGACCUGCCCUAACGUGUGAGGCCCACUCUUAAAGGCAGGGCUACCACAAAAAAAAAAAAAAAA